Non-coding RNA from Orycteropus afer afer, 73 nucleotides. NCBI's taxonomy places the organism in Eukaryota, Metazoa, Chordata, Mammalia, Tubulidentata, Orycteropodidae. The record is from the annotation of a RefSeq genome assembly.
GCCCUGGUAGCUCAGUGGUUAAGUAUUUGGCUGCUAACCAAAAGGUUGGUGAUUCAAACCCACCUCUAGGGCA